AAUGCACGUAAAAUCAAGGAGCACUGUUUCUGGCACACUGGGACAGGACUGUUACUAAGCCCAGUUUGAAGAUGAGGAAGCAGGGGCAUACAGAGGGCUCUGGCAGGGUCAUGUAGGAGCUCUGUGUGGCGUCUCACCAACAGGAGACCAAACUGGAGGGUUGUGGAGUGAGAAAAAGUCAAGUUUAUCCUGUCCACAGAGGCUCCCAGCAUGAAGUCAAGACAUGAUUUUGAAGGCAGACAGCCGAGCGAGAACUCCAGCUCCCCAUUGCCUGCUCUGUGACCCCUCAGUGUCCCCAGCUGCAGAUGGCAUAAUAAUAACACUCACCCCAUAGGCCUGCCGUGAGGGAUUAAUGCCUGUGAAGCACUCAGAACAGUGUCUGGUACAGAGUAAGUGCUAUGUGGGUGUUUGUGAAAAAUAAACACGGGGC
RNAcentral lists this long non-coding RNA (430 nucleotides) under Heterocephalus glaber (naked mole-rat). RNAcentral's name for it is "lncRNA (ENSHGLG00000042433.1)". Lineage: Eukaryota; Metazoa; Chordata; Mammalia; Rodentia; Bathyergidae. The record is from RNAcentral.